CACGUGUAUCGAUAAAGUUCAACUACACUACAGAAUGACUUGACUAUGUUGACUGAAUUCAUCUGAACUUAUUCGAUUGCAGAAACCUACUGGACAUCUUGGAGAUUUGUAAACUGUUUCUCAAAAGGUCAGAGGUCACCACUGUCAUCAGCAGUAGUGUACUAUAAAUAGCAACAUGGAUCCAGAUGGGGAUUCCGAUGGUGGCUUUGAGGAUGCGGCUGCUGAGGAUAUGGCCGAGGUGGUUGAUUUGAACGAGGCAGAUGGAGAGUAUGUGAUUGAUGACAUGGGUGAUAUGGAUUCAGAAGGCUUUGACGGAGACGGAGAUGAGGAAGGGGAUGAUGAAAAUGAAGACGAGGCUGAGGGGAUGGAUGCUCCAGCGGAGGAUGAGUUGGAGGACGACGCUGACUUUGUCUACGACAAACACACAGCCUCUGUAUUCUGCUGCGAUUUGGAACCCACCAAGGGCGCCCUCGCCGUUACGGGGAGCGAGGACGAUAAAGCGUACGUCUGGAAAAUCGGGGAUGGGCAACCAGUGCUGGAGUGCUCAGGUCACAAAGACUCGGUUGCAUGUGUCGGCUUCAGUCACGACGGUUCCCUCGUGGUGUCGGGUGACAUGAGCGGCCUGAUUAAAGUCUGGAAGGUGGACACACAGGAAGAAAUCUGGUCAUUUGAGUGCUCGGACUUGGAGUGGCUGACGUGGCACCACAGCUCACAUGUUCUCUUCGGGGGGACGUCGGAGGGUCAGAUUUGGAUGUGGAAGGUACCUAGCGGGGAUUGUAAGACCUUGCAAGGGCACGGCUGCCAAACGACAUGCGGCAAGAUAUUUGCAGAUGGCAAGAGAUGCUGUGCCGGAUAUGAAGAUGGAACGGUGAAAAUAUGGGAUUUGAAGGAGACAACGGCACUUCACACAUUCAAAGGUAACACUGGGCACAGUAGUGGUGUGACAUCCCUUGAUUGCCAUAGCAACAAUAUUGUGGUUCUCACUGGUUCUGUUGAUGGAACGGCAAAAGUCUUGAACAGCAACAAUGCUAAGGUUUUAGCCACUUUCUCAGCCGGAAAUGUAAAACCAGAGAUUGGUGACAGCAACUCAGUGGAGGCUGUUGGAUUGUGUCAAAGUCAAUCCCUGGCUGCCGUUGGAUCACUGAAUGGCAUAUUAGGAGUUUGGGACAUACCUACACAGAAACGGAGACAUUGCUGCCAGUUAGAGGCUGGCAUAGUGCGGCUGAGGUGGGACCCCUCGGGUACCCCUACGAUCUUCACAGCGGGGCUAGACGGCAGGGUCUGUCUGUGGGAUGCAAGGUCAGGAGAAUCGGUGGCGUCGUGGACUGGCCACAGAGGGGAGAUUCUGGAUAUGGCUAUCAGCAAUGACGGAAACACCAUAGUAACUGCAUCUGGAGACACGUCAUGUAGGGUAUUCUCACUGCAGCGUCCGGAGAGGUAGAUCCUGGCAAAGAGUCAUCAAACUGGAUUCCCUUCGAGAAAGACACCGACAGAGACGUCCUCGUUAUAUCCUGCAAAAGGCAGAAGAAUCCUUUAUAACAGGACAGCCAAAACUUUGAGCCAAAGGGAUAAACAUGAGAAUCAAUCAUGUUUGAAAUCUUAAAAUGGCCAUUUAUUUUACACAAUUUUAAGGCCUUUUACCCCCUUUUUAAUAAGCGCAUUAAUUUCCCUGUCUUUGCUUGUAUGUACACCCUAUUUUGCCUUUUUAUUAAGGAAGAGGGCAGUGUUUACCUGAACUACGCUUCCUUUGGGGUUUUUACUGUCUUCCUUUUAUUUAUGGACAGUGUUAUAAUUUUGUGAUGGCUGUUGAAUUUUUGCGUAAGCAUGAAAUAAAUUCUGUCUGGUGAUUGGAUCAGAACAUAUCACAUGAUCUGCAUUACAUGGGUUUGGUAGACUGGAACCAAAAAAAAAUCUAUGAAUUAUCUACUGCGUGUCGCCAUGUGCUUAUUUCCAUCCAUGUACAUGAUAUUUGUAUUUCCAACUUGAUGCUUAAAAGACCUCAAAAUAAAGAUAUGACAUUGAGUUACCGAUUCAUAAUGACAUGAAGUAAUGCAAAUGCUGUACAUGCAAAUAUUGACUUAUUUGUUGACUCAGAUAUGUACAAAAUAUGUGAGGUGCUUACAAUAAAAAUAUGUUUAAGUCACCACAACAGGUCUAAACUUUCCCCAAACAAUUAAAAAAGACACAACAAAAACCUAGCUAUGAGCAUCCUUUUCCCCAGUGUUUGUUUGUUUGUUUGGUUUUUUUUUUUUACACAAGGCAUAUCUUGGCCUUAACAGCUAGAAACAUUAUUAAUAGAGACUGCUGAUGGCUUGUCGCCCAGAUAGCGAUUCACUUCCCUCUUGAAGCUGGCCAGAUUCCUGUUAGUGGGUAUGUGGGCAGAAGAGAGUUCCAUAUUCGGGCCGAAGAUGGUAAAAAGGACCUUUGAUGGCUGACUCGGUUUAUCAGAAUGUCGACAUGUACUGAUUUAUUAAAGAGGAAAUAUGAAUUUCAAAGAAAGAAGGCUUA
RNAcentral lists this unclassified non-coding RNA (2508 nucleotides) under Patiria miniata (bat star). RNAcentral's name for it is "angio-associated migratory cell protein-like, transcript variant X2". Lineage: Eukaryota; Metazoa; Echinodermata; Asteroidea; Valvatida; Asterinidae. The record is from RNAcentral.